Molecule: unclassified non-coding RNA, 25 nt
Filed under: synthetic construct
Source: RNAcentral
GCACCAGAGCCAAUGGAACUUGAUG